CAGAUCUGAAAGCAACUUUUCAAAAUGGCAAGUGAGGUGGUUUAUGCAGAGGUAUCGCCCAAGGAAAGAGUGCAUUUUACUUCACAAACUUCAGAUACAGGUGAUCCAGUCACAUACAGUGAGGUGAAUGUGAAAUGGCGAUCUGACAGACCUGACAGCACACCCAAGACUACACAUACAGGUGCUAGAUCUAUAGCACACAGGGUAGCACAUUCCUGCUGAAGGCCUAGCUACAAUGAUUUUGCAUACUCGAAAAACUAAGAACAAAACUUGACUUGCUUCUGCCUGUGGUGAGACCCCUCUCCCUUGUCCCCUUGGCAGCGACCUGCUUGGCGAACUCGCACUGGUGUUACGUCGUUGUCGCCCUGUACUUCACUGCAGUGAUUCUGCUCAUCACUGUCAUCCUCCUGGCAGUGAAAUGUCACAACCUCUGAGGCAGACUCUGCCGUCCCGCUAACGUAGAGGAUAACUCAGCAUGGGAAGGCUCUGCUUCUUCAACAAAACAAGACAUAAUGCUUCAUAAUGCUUGUUGACUUUUACAUUAUUCUCUCUGAAGACACCUUUAUGUAAGAAGACAUGCCAUCAGUCUGAUCACUCUUCAGUUAUGUCUUCCAGGAUCUCCAUUAAACCUCUAACCUCUACAUAUAUGGACAAAACAUAUUUUAUUACUUUUAUGUGGAAUUUGCUUAAUCCUGUAAUACCAGCAACAACCCAAUUAUAUCAGUGCAUGUACCAAGGCAUGGGCUCAAGCUGCUGCAUCAGAAGUUGGAUUUGGGUCUUGUCUAGAUAACACAAAUGACCAAGUGGACCAGUUUGAGACAUCACUUCUAAUUCACACCUGACUUGAUUUUGCAAUAUAGAUAAGCUUUUAGAUCCUGUAUGUGCAAGUGCAAAUUCAUGGAUAAAAGAGGGAAUGUGAAAGUUUGCACUGAAUUUUUUUAUGAAGCCCAGGUUUGGAUGUGAUUUUUCUUCUCCUGACAGCCUUUAGUGGGAUUUGUAUGAAAGGGGUAUUGAAGGUGCAAGAAACUACAUUUGUUUAGUUAGAGAAGUCUCAGUCUCAUUCCUCCAUUGGCUUGAAUAAAAUUAUUCUGUUCUACUUGUCCAGAACAGCAUC
Haliaeetus leucocephalus (bald eagle) is the source of this 1114-nucleotide long non-coding RNA. RefSeq lists it as uncharacterized. The record is from RefSeq and is a predicted model, not a curated record. Lineage: Eukaryota; Metazoa; Chordata; Aves; Accipitriformes; Accipitridae. The transcript is spliced from 4 exons.